CCCGGGUCGUCUAGUCGGCAAGACGCCGCACUCUGGAUGCGGAGAGCUGGGUUCGAAUCCUGGCCCGGGAGCGCCA
Molecule: transfer RNA, 76 nt
Filed under: Micromonospora sp. WMMA2032
Lineage: Bacteria; Bacillati; Actinomycetota; Actinomycetes; Micromonosporales; Micromonosporaceae
Description: tRNA-Gln
Rfam family: tRNA
About the family: Transfer RNA (tRNA) molecules are approximately 80 nucleotides in length.
Source: RNAcentral